Molecule: non-coding RNA, 1113 nt
Organism: Podarcis lilfordi (Lilford's wall lizard)
Lineage: Eukaryota; Metazoa; Chordata; Lepidosauria; Squamata; Lacertidae
Source: the annotation of a GenBank genome assembly
UUUUUUUGCAGUGAAUAGAUUACAGUAUCUGAGAAUUCACUUCCUGCCCAAACACCCACAUCACUCACCCCCCACUUGACACCCCCCCCCCGCUUCACCUCUGGUGGCAAACUGCCUUUUGAAUUACUUCUCUUUUUAAAGCUUGGAGGAAGACACAGGGGAGCUGCAAGGAGCAGAUUUCUUCAGCCAGGAGGAUAAGUGCAGCUGUCAAGUCUGCAGGGAAAGGUGAAUUUAAAGGGGGAAAUUGUGGUUAAGAAGGAGCGAGGCAGUGGCAGCAAGAUCAGGGAGGGAAUAAAACUUCAGGAGGGGCAGGGUGGACCGAAGCAGGGCUGAGGAAACCCAAUAUUGUCUACUCUCCAGCUGGUCUCCAGAGGUUCAGACAGCAGCUUUCCCUGCCCUGUCUGGAGACUCCCGGGAUUGAACCUGGGAUUGCAUGAAAAGCAGAUGCUCUACCGUUGAGCUACAGCCUGCUUCUUAGAAACGUUGGUCCAUCUACCUUUGUGUUGUCCACACUGACUGGCAGCAGCUCUCCAGGCCCUCAGGCAGCUCUACCUGGGGAUGUCAGAGGUUGUACUUGGGACCUUAUGCAUGUAAGCUGAGCCCCACACCACCGAGCUGAAGAACACAGGGCUCUGCCUUUUACAGAGUCAGAAAAUUACCCCUUCUAUCACAGUAUUGUCCACACUGACUGGCAGCAGCUCUCCAGGGUUUCGGACAAGAGACAUCUCCCAGCAGUACCUGGGGACGGAACCUGGGACCUUCUGCAUAUACCACUGAGCUGCCCUGCACUUCCCAGUUUAUCCUCUCUUCCAAAUCUUAAAACAAAUAAUAAAGCAAACAUACCCAAAGGAGUGAUUGCGGAAAAGUUGAGAGGUGACACAGUUAUAUACUUUGGGAGGUUGCUAUAGAGCAGAGGUGGAUUAGCUUGAGGCUUAUGUGACCUACUUUGUUUCCCCCCACUAGAUUCCCCAAGACCCACUCACUGGAGCCAAGUGUGAAAAAGAAUUCUGAGCCUAUCCAUCACCACACGAAAAGACUCACUGCCGGCAAUUCCCUGGAAUUUGCAAUUCUAGAGACCAGGAAUGUCUGGACUGUGGCUGCAUUAAAAUUGAU